Mytilus trossulus (common blue mussel) is the source of this 1027-nucleotide long non-coding RNA. RefSeq lists it as uncharacterized. The record is from RefSeq and is a predicted model, not a curated record. The transcript is spliced from 3 exons. Lineage: Eukaryota; Metazoa; Mollusca; Bivalvia; Mytilida; Mytilidae.
GCAUGUCAUAACAGGAAAACAUACAACUAGCCAUCAAUAGUGCUGAGUGGAAUGGUUUUCAUCACAAAUGUGGAAGUUCUUUUAUCCGCUACCAUAGAUCUAGUCAAGGGAAGGAUUUUAAAGCUUUUUUUCAGCUUGCUCCAUUUUUAGGGAAAAGGGGCUGAAUAUGAGCCGGAAGUAGUUCAACUUUGGUUUAUGCUAGCAGACCGUUGGCCCAGAGGCUCCAAUUAUAUGUAAGAGGAAGGAUUUAUAUAUUGUGAAAGAUCCUGGAAUGUUCAACUUUAUUUGGAAACUAUUGGAUGAGAAUGGACAUAAUUUACACCAGAAGCCAGUUAAUUAUCAUCUUGUUUUGCAAUUGGAAACUAUAUGUAAACUGCUGAAACUUGAGAACAACAUUAAAAGCCAAGAUCAACAAUACUUGACAACUUCAUCAUCAUGUAUAAUCAGAGUACAUGUACUGUCAGACUCCAUAUGAGAAUCAAUCUACACAUGGUGUCUUUAUGUAUAUGUAAUGUGUUGACAGAAUCCAGCCACUUAAGAAGCAAAGGAUCAACUAUAAUUUAGAACUGUAUGCAUAAGUGCUGGCAAAAUUCAUAAAAAAAUCAAAGAUCACUAAAGGACCUACUUUAUCUACCUGUCCCGAUGAUGAUACAGAUUAUUGGUUCUUGUGAAGAAAAAAAACAGUGAAGAAGAAUAUUGAUAUAAAAAUAAUGAAAAAUAAGGAUUGUACAUGUACAUGAUGUAUACAUGUAAACAAUUACUAGUUGACCCUAACCUUGAAGUAAAUGCAACAGAAGAUUUUUAAGUUUUAAUCUUUAGAAUUAUACCCUAAAUAUUCACAGAAAGAAGACCCAAAUAAUGUAUUUAACAUUAAAAGAAAAUGAAUUCAUAUAAACAAGAAAAUGCUAUUCUUCUAUUCAUCAGAAUGUAUUGAUUCUUGAUAUCUUAGCUGUCUUUAGAGUAUAAUAAACCAUUCUAAAGGUGUUUUCAUAUGUUUUAUCAAGCUACAAUCUAGAUUUCGAAAUUC